Molecule: ribosomal RNA, 441 nt
Filed under: uncultured bacterium
Lineage: Bacteria
Description: partial 16S ribosomal RNA
Rfam family: Bacterial small subunit ribosomal RNA
Source: RNAcentral
CCUACGGGUGGCAGCAGUGGGGGAUAUUGCACAAUGGGGGGAACCCUGAUGCAGCGACGCCGCGUGGGUGAAGGAGUGCUUCGGCAUGUAAAGCCCUAUCGGCAGGGAAGAAGCAAGACGGUACCUGACUAAGAAGCCCCGGCUAACUACGUGCCCGCAGCCGCGGUAAUACGUAGGGGGCGAGCGUGAUCCGGAUUCACUGGGUGUAAAGGGAGCGUAGACGGCCAUGCAAGCCAGGGGUGAAAGCCCGGGGCCCAACCCCGGGACUGCCCUGGGAACUGUGCGGCUAGAGUGCGGGAGGGGCAGGCGGAAUUCCUGGUGUAGCGGUGAAAUGCGUAGAUAUCAGGAGGAACACCGGCGGCGAAGGCGGCCUGCUGGACCGCGACUGACGUUGAGGCUCGAAAGCGUGGGGAGCGAACAGGAUUAGAUACCCCUGUAGUC